RNAcentral lists this ribosomal RNA (506 nucleotides) under uncultured bacterium. RNAcentral's name for it is "SSU rRNA". It matches the Rfam family "Bacterial small subunit ribosomal RNA", at positions 26 to 518 of the family's 1533-position model. The record is from RNAcentral.
AGGACGAACGCUGGCGGCGCGCUUAACACAUGCAAGUCGAGCGAGAACCCAGGCUUCGGCCUGGGGGGAAAGCGGCGAACGGGUGAGUAACACGUGGGUAAUCUGCCCUCGACAUCGGGAUAGCCCGGGGAAACCCGGAUUAAUACCGAAUAGCCCAACAGCUUUUCGGAGCGGUUGGAAAAGGUAGCUUUGGCCUCCGGUCGAGGAGGAGCUCGCGGCGGAUUAGCUUGUUGGUGAGGUAACGGCUCACCAAGGCGUCGAUCCGUAGCUGGUCUGAGAGGACGAUCAGCCACACUGGGACUGAGACACGGCCCAGACUCCUACGGGAGGCAGCAGUGGGGAAUCUUGCGCAAUGGGCGAAAGCCUGACGCAGCGACGCCGCGUGAGGGAAGAAGGCCUUCGGGUUGUAAACCUCUUUCAGGAGGGACGAAGCCGACUCGGGUUAAUAGCCAGAGGGUGACGGUACCUCCGAGAAGAAGCCCGGCUAACUACGUGCCAGCAGCCGC